GAUGAAGAACGUAGUGAAAUGCGAUAAGUAAUGCGAAUUGCAGAAUCCGUGAGUCAUCGAAUCUUUGAACGCACAUUGCGCCCUCUGGUAUUCCGGAGGGCAUGCCUGUUCGAGCGUCAUUAUCACCCCUCAAGCCCGGCUUGUUGUUGGAUGCAGCGCUUAUCCCGCUCCUCCCAAAGAUAAUGACGGCGUCUGCGACGACUCCUGUACACUGAGCUUUCGGGCACGUACACGGCUAGAAGUCCAGACCCGGUCGCCGUCCCCCCCGCGGGGGACACCCAUUACCACAAGGUUGACCUCGGAUCAGGUAGGAAUACCCGCUGAACUUAAGCAUAUCAAUAAGCGGAGGA
This 350-nucleotide unclassified non-coding RNA is filed under the name soil metagenome. Its description in RNAcentral is "partial contains 5.8S ribosomal RNA, internal transcribed spacer 2, and large subunit ribosomal RNA". The stretch from base 1 to 119 matches the Rfam family "5.8S ribosomal RNA", at positions 35 to 154 of the family's 154-position model. The record is from RNAcentral.